CCUACGGGUGGCAGCAGUGAGGAAUAUUGGUCAAUGGGCGCGAGCCUGAACCAGCCAAGUCGCGUGAGGGAAGACGGCCCUACGGGUUGUAAACCUCUUUUGCCGGGGAGCAACGGGCGCCACGUGUGGCGCCACUGAGAGUACCCGGAGAAAAAGCAUCGGCUAACUACGUGCCAGCAGCCGCAGUACUACGGAGGAUGCGAGCGUUCUCCGGUUUGAUUGGGUUUAAGGGGUGCGUAGGCGGAGCGUUAAGUCAGUGGUCAAAUUGAGGGGCUCAACCCCUUCCCGCCAUUGAAACUGGCGCUCUUGAGUGGAAGAGAAGUAGGCGGAAUGCGUGGUGUAGCGGUGAAAGGCAUAGAUAUCACGCAGAACCCCGAUUGCGAAGGCAGCAUGCCGGCUUCCUACUGACGCUGAAGCACGAAAGCGUGGGGAUCGAACAGGAUUAGAUACCCUGGUAGUC
RNAcentral lists this ribosomal RNA (460 nucleotides) under uncultured bacterium. RNAcentral's name for it is "partial 16S ribosomal RNA". It matches the Rfam family "Bacterial small subunit ribosomal RNA", at positions 338 to 795 of the family's 1533-position model. The record is from RNAcentral.